GAUGAACGCUAGCUACAGGCUUAACACAUGCAAGUCGAGGGGCAGCAUGGUCUUAGCUUGCUAAGCCGGUGGGGGACGGCGCAAGGGUGAGGAAAAAGUAUCCAACCUUGCGUUUAAUCUUGGAACAGCUUCCUGAAGGAAAGAUAAUAAAAGAAGGCCUUCUUCAUUCGGCUGGUUACAAGGUUUAAGGGAUUCCGGUUGGACGUGGGGAUGCGUUCCAUUUGGUUGUAGGCGGGGUUACGGCCCACCUAGUCUUCGAUGGGUAGGGGUUCUGAGAGGGAGGUCCCCCACAUUGGAACUGAGCCACGGUCCAAACUCCUACGGGAGGCAGCAGUGAGGAAUAUUGGUCAAUGGGCGCAGGCCUGAACCAGCCAAGUAGCGUGAAGGAUGACUGCCCUAUGGGUUGUAAACUUCUUUUAUAAAGGAAUAAAGUCGGGUAUGUAUACCCGUUUGCAUGUACUUUAUGAAUAAGGAUCGGCUAACUCCGUG
RNAcentral lists this ribosomal RNA (489 nucleotides) under uncultured bacterium. RNAcentral's name for it is "partial 16S ribosomal RNA". It matches the Rfam family "Bacterial small subunit ribosomal RNA", at positions 28 to 507 of the family's 1533-position model. The record is from RNAcentral.